Molecule: ribosomal RNA, 985 nt
Filed under: Photobacterium damselae
Lineage: Bacteria; Pseudomonadati; Pseudomonadota; Gammaproteobacteria; Vibrionales; Vibrionaceae
Description: bacterial LSU rRNA
Rfam family: Bacterial large subunit ribosomal RNA
Source: RNAcentral
UGCUGGAGGUAUCAGAAGUGCGAAUGCUGACAUGAGUAACGACAAAGGGAGUGAAAAACUCCCUCGCCGGAAGACCAAGGGUUCCUGUCCAACGUUAAUCGGGGCAGGGUGAGUCGACCCCUAAGGCGAGGCCGAAAGGCGUAGUCGAUGGGAAACGGGUUAAUAUUCCCGUACUUCUUACUAUUGCGAUGGGGGGACGGAGAAGGCUAGGUGAGCCUGGCGACGGUUGUCCAGGUCCAAGUACGUAGGUGGAUGAAUUAGGCAAAUCCGGUUCAUCAUUAACACUGAGAUACGAUGUCGAGCUACUACGGUAGCGAAGUCAUUGAUGCCAUGCUUCCGGGAAAAGCCUCUAAGCUUCAGAUAGUAAGAAAUCGUACCCCAAACCGACACAGGUGGUCGGGUAGAGAAUACCAAGGCGCUUGAGAGAACUCGGGUGAAGGAACUAGGCAAAAUGGUACCGUAACUUCGGGAGAAGGUACGCUCUUAACGGUGAAGUCCCUCGCGGAUGGAGCUGUCGAGAGUCGCAGAUACCAGGUGGCUGCAACUGUUUAUUAAAAACACAGCACUGUGCAAAAUCGAAAGAUGACGUAUACGGUGUGACGCCUGCCCGGUGCCGGAAGGUUAAUUGAUGGGGUUAGACGUAAGUCGAAGCUCUUGAUCGAAGCCCCGGUAAACGGCGGCCGUAACUAUAACGGUCCUAAGGUAGCGAAAUUCCUUGUCGGGUAAGUUCCGACCUGCACGAAUGGCGUAAUGAUGGCCACGCUGUCUCCACCCGAGACUCAGUGAAAUUGAAAUCGCUGUGAAGAUGCAGCGUACCCGCGGCUAGACGGAAAGACCCCGUGAACCUUUACUACAGCUUGGCACUGAACAUUGACCCUACAUGUGUAGGAUAGGUGGGAGACUUUGAAACGCAGACGCCAGUUUGCGUGGAGUCGUCCUUGAAAUACCACCCUUGUAGUGUUGAUGUUCUAACUUGGCCCCAUUA